CUCAUGGUUUCGCCUCCGCCGGCUCCGGGUAGUGCUCCUCUGGCUUCGGUGGCAGCUCGUGCUUUGGCUCCUCCGGCACCUCUGGGUGCGGCAGCUCCGGCACGGUGGGGUGAGGAGGCAGCUCGGGCUUUGGCAGCUCCGGCACGGUGGGGUGAGGAGGCAGCUCGGGCUUUGGCAGCUCCGGCACGGUCGGGUGCUCUGGCACGGUGGGGUGAGGAGGGAGCUCGGGCUUUGGCUGCUCUGGCGCGACCGGGUGCGGCUCCUCAUGUUUUGGCAGCUCAGGCUCAGUAGGGUGAGGUGGCAGUUCAGGCUUCGGAAUCUCCGGCACAGGGUGCGGCACCUCGGGCUCGGUAGGGUGAGGAGGCAGUUCGGGCUUGGGCAGCUCUGGCACGGGGUGCGGCUCCUCAGGUUUGGGCAGCUCUGGCUCGGUUGGGUGAGGAGGCAGUUCAGGUUUGGGCAGCUCUGGCACGGGGUGCGGCGCCUCAGGCUUGGGCAUCUCCGGGACGGCGGGGUGGGGUGGCACCUCGGGCUUUGGCAGCUCAGGCACGGUAGGGUGCGGCGGCAGCUGGGGCUUGGGCAACUCCGGCACAGCAGGGUGCGGGUACUCCUCCUUGGGCGGCGCCUCCUCCAGCAACCGCGCC
RNAcentral lists this long non-coding RNA (641 nucleotides) under Setaria italica (foxtail millet). RNAcentral describes it as "long non-coding RNA (SITA_LNC001642)". Lineage: Eukaryota; Viridiplantae; Streptophyta; Magnoliopsida; Poales; Poaceae. The record is from RNAcentral.